CGAGUUCGUGGCUUCUUCUUUAUUUUAAGAAUUAUUUCCGCAAGAGGUAACCCUCUAUCUUUCUUUGAAUAAUGUAAUAUCGCAAUAAUGUGAAAUUCAAAUAUUAUGAUGUGGAGAUGCUCUUAGUUUACAUUUGUUAUUAUGAUGUUAAAGCAUUCAACUCUUUGUCAUGGUUAAAUUUGGAGUGAGAUUUGAUAUA
RNAcentral lists this long non-coding RNA (199 nucleotides) under Capsicum annuum. Its description in RNAcentral is "long non-coding RNA (CANN_LNC017823)". Lineage: Eukaryota; Viridiplantae; Streptophyta; Magnoliopsida; Solanales; Solanaceae. The record is from RNAcentral.